This 124-nucleotide transfer RNA is filed under the name Ensifer sp. SSB1. RNAcentral describes it as "tRNA-OTHER". Lineage: Bacteria; Pseudomonadati; Pseudomonadota; Alphaproteobacteria; Hyphomicrobiales; Rhizobiaceae. The record is from RNAcentral.
GGAAAGCGAAGAGGUUUCAACGCCUUACGGAAACAUAAGAUAAGACGCGGAUAACCCGCUAUACAUCUUGAAAACCAGCGUACGGGAAACCGUACCGUGGGUUCGAAUCCCACCCUGUCCGCCA